RNAcentral lists this ribosomal RNA (3154 nucleotides) under Cosmarium punctulatum. Its description in RNAcentral is "bacterial LSU rRNA". It matches the Rfam family "Bacterial large subunit ribosomal RNA", at positions 161 to 2504 of the family's 2925-position model. Lineage: Eukaryota; Viridiplantae; Streptophyta; Zygnematophyceae; Desmidiales; Desmidiaceae. The record is from RNAcentral.
AAUUGAUAGGGAGGCAAGAGACAACCUGGCGAACUGAAACAUCUUAGUAGCCAGAGGAAAAGAAAGCAAAAGCGAUUCCCUGAGUAGUGGCGAGCGAAAUGGGAACAGCCUAAACCGCCUUCCGUUUUGGAAGGCGGGGUUGUGGGAGAGCGACAUAAGCUAAGAGUUACUAGACGAAGCAGCUGAGUCCUGCACCUUAGAUGGUGAGAGUCCAGUAGUUGAAAGUAUCUCUAGCAAACGCUAAUACCCGAGUAGCAUGGGGCACGUGAAAUCCCGUGUGAAUCAGCGAGGACCACCUCGUAAGGCUAAAUACUCCUGGGUGACCGAUAGUGAAGUAGUACCGUGAGGGAAAGGUGAAAAGAACCCCCAUCGGGGAGUGAAAUAGAACAUGAAACCGUAAGCCUCCAAGCAGUGGGAGGAGAAUGGAAUCUCUGACCGCGUGCCUGUUGAAGAAUGAGCCGGCGACUUAUAGGCAGUGGCCUGGUUAAGGGUUUUACUCCCGGAGCCGUAGCGAAAGCGAGUCUUUCUAGGGCGAAUGUCACUGCUUAUGGACCCGAACCCGGGUGAUCUAACCAUGGCCAGGGUGAAGCUUGGGUGAAGCCAAGUGGAGGUCCGAACCGACUGAUGUUGAAAAAUCAGCGGAUGAGCUGUGGUUAGGGGUGAAAUGCCACUCGAACUCGGAGCUAGCUGGUUCUCCCCGAAAUGCGUUGAGGCGCAGCGGUUGACUGGACUGCCUAGGGGUAAAGCACUGUUUCGGUGCGGGCUGCGAAAGCGGUACCAAAUCGAGGCAAACUCUGAAUACUAGGCACGACAUUGGUCAGCCAGUAAGACGGUGUGGGAUAAGCUUCAUCGUCGAGAGGGAAACAGCCCAGACCACCAGCUAAGGCCCCUAAAUGACCGCUCAGUNGCAAAGGAGGUGAGAGUGCAAAGACAGCCAGGAGGUUUGCCUAGAAGCAGCCACCCUUGAAAGAGUGCGUAAUAGCUCACUGAUCGAGCGCUCUUGCGCCGAAGAUGAACGGGACUAAGCGGUCUGCCGAAGCUGUGGGAUGUCCGUUAGGGCAUCGGUAGGGGACGUUCCGCAAAAGGGAGAAGCAUCAGUGCAAACAGGUGUGGACGAAGCGGAAGUGAGAAUGUCGGCUUGAGUAACGCAAACAUUGGUGAGAAUCCAAUGCCCCGAAAACCCAAGGGUUCCUCCGCAAGGCUCGUCCACGGAGGGUGAGUCAGGGCCUAAGAUCAUGCCGAACGGCGCAGUCGAUGGACAACAGGUCAAGAUUCCUGUACUACCCCUUGUCGGCAAUAAGAGGGACGGAGGAGGCUAAGCUAGCCGAACAAUGGUCAUCGGUUCAAGGGUUGUUCAAACACCUGAGUACUAGGCACCUACGGGGCCGAAGUAGCUGAUGCCACGCUCCCAAGAAAAGCUCUUACGCCAAUUUUUUUCCAGACACGAAGUGUGUCUSCSUCUUUCAGACCUCCCUACGUGGAGAUCGUGCAGAUACGGUUCAACAAAAAUAAGACAAGUGGGUACCUGUACCCGAAACCGACACAGGUGGGUAGGUUGAGAAUACCUAGGGGCGCGAGACAACUCUCUCUAAGGAACUCGGCAAGAUGGCCCCGUAACUUCGGGAGAAGGGGUGCCCCUCUGGGGCCGCAGUGACCAGGCCCAGGCGACUGUUUACCAAAAACACAGGUCUCCGCAAAGUCGCAAGACGACGUAUGGGGGCUGACGCCUGCCCAGUGCCGGAAGGUUAAGGAAGUCGGUGACUCGAGUACGAGGAAGCUGGCGACCGAAGCCCCGGUGAACGGCGGCCGUAACUAUAACGGUCCUAAGGUUGGGAAUAUAUAUCGCUAGCCUUACGUAAAACCAAACUAUAUGCUGGAAACUCCUCAAAAACUUUGGCACUACUCGUUAUAGCUGCUGCUACGCAAAAAGAAAGAAUCUUUCAGACUUUCAGAUCGAAGCGCAAGAACGCACCAAUAGCUACUAGCAGUCAAAACGUGAAAGACACGGGGGACAAAUCAGCAGCGACAGCCUCAUUAUUUUUUAUGAACUGAGAAAUCCUCAGAGAACUAUAACGUUUGGSAGAUUUUCCAAUCGAUUUAGMCAMCACAAUGGCUNNNUUGGUUUUGUUGCUGGAGAGGUGUUUUCAUUCUUCUAUUAAUAAGACAAUGAAUGACCUGUGUCAAUCACCAGAUUUACUGUUGUUCAACAUGAAGGCGAUAUCCAGGUCUUAUGCCUUAACAGUAUUUGGAUGUGAGUUGUACGUCGAAAUCAUGGGAUAGGUUUGCUUAUCGAGUUCGCGGUCAAAAAAAAUCUCCGUGAACGAAUCAUUCCGUUUUUUGAGAAACACAAGUUGAAGACAAAAAAACGGAUCGCCUUUGAAAAAUUUCGAGAUGUCAUUCUUAUGAUAGAACAAGAAGAGCAUCUUACAGAAAAAGGAGUCGAGAAUAUUCGAAAGAUUCAAGAAAAUAUGAAUCGAAAAGCGAAGAAGAAGUUCUAACAGACGCUGCCGUGAUGAGUACUUAUUACUACUCUCUUCAAUCAAUAAAGUUUCUAAUGAAAAUCUAAGAUAGAGUCCAGCUUCUUGUGAAAGCAAAGAGAGAAACUGAGCGAAAUUCCUUGUCGGGUAAGUUCCGACCCGCACGAAAGCCGUAACGAUCUGGGCACUGUCUCGGAGAGAGGCUCGGUGAAAUAGACUUGUCUGUGAAGAUGCGGACUACCUGCACCUGGACAGAAAGACCCUAUGAAGCUUUACUGUUCCUUGGGAUGGGGUUUGGGCCCUUCUUGCGCAGUCUAGGUGGGAGGCGAAGACGGCGUCCUUCCGGGGACGCUCGAGCCGAAGAUGAGAGACCACCCUAGAAGGGCUAGGAUUCUAACCUUAUGCCUAGAAGAAGGCUAGGGGACAGUCCCAGGUAGACAGUUUCUAUGGGGCGUAGGCCUCCUAAAGGGUAACGGAGGCGUGCAAAGGUUUCCUCAGGCUGGACGGAAAUCAGCCUUCGAGUGCAAAGGCAGAAGGGAGCUUGACUGCAAGACCUACCCGUCGAGCAGGGACGAAAGUCGGCCUUAGUGAUCCGACGGUUCCGAGUGGAAGGGCCGUCGCUCAACGGAUAAAAGUUACUCUAGGGAUAACAGGCUGAUCUUCCCCAAGAGUUCACA